UACGGGAGGCAGCAGUGAGGAAUAUUGGUCAAUGGACGAGAGUCUGAACCAGCCAAGUAGCGUGAAGGAUGACUGCCCUAUGGGUUGUAAACUUCUUUUAUAUGGGAAUAAAGUGGUCCACGUGUGGAUUUUUGUAUGUACCAUAUGAAUAAGGAUCGGCUAACUCCGUGCCAGCAGCCGCGGUAAUACGGAGGAUCCGAGCGUUAUCCGGAUUUAUUGGGUUUAAAGGGAGCGUAGGUGGACAGUUAAGUCAGUUGUGAAAGUUUGCGGCUCAACCGUAAAAUUGCAGUUGAUACUGGCUGUCUUGAGUACAGUAGAGGUGGGCGGAAUUCGUGGUGUAGCGGUGAAAUGCUUAGAUAUCACGAAGAACUCCGAUUGCGAAGGCAGCUCACUGGACUGCAACUGACACUGAUGCUCGAAAGUGUGGGUAUCAAACAGGAUUAGAUACCCUGGUAGUCCACAC
RNAcentral lists this ribosomal RNA (463 nucleotides) under uncultured bacterium. Its description in RNAcentral is "bacterial SSU rRNA". It matches the Rfam family "Bacterial small subunit ribosomal RNA", at positions 340 to 800 of the family's 1533-position model. The record is from RNAcentral.